RNAcentral lists this ribosomal RNA (330 nucleotides) under uncultured Actinomycetes bacterium. Its description in RNAcentral is "bacterial SSU rRNA". It matches the Rfam family "Bacterial small subunit ribosomal RNA", at positions 28 to 351 of the family's 1533-position model. Lineage: Bacteria; Bacillati; Actinomycetota; Actinomycetes. The record is from RNAcentral.
GACGAACGCUGGCGGCGUGCUUAACACAUGCAAGUGGAGCGACGAACCGGGCUUCGGCCCGGGGCAAAGCCGCGAACGGGUGAGUAUCACGUGGGUAACCUGCCCCGAUGACCGGGACAACCCGAGGAAACUCGGGCUAAUACCGGAUGUGCUCGCAGCACUUCAGUGCAGCGAAUAAAGGAAGCUUCGGCCUCCGCAUUGGGAUGGGCCCGCGGCCCAUUAGCUUGUUGGUGAGGUAAAGGCUCACCAAGGCAACGAUGGGUAGCUGGUCUGAGAGGACGAUCAGCCACACUGGGACUGAGACACGGCCCAGACUCCUACGGGUGGCUG